This 503-nucleotide ribosomal RNA is filed under the name uncultured bacterium. RNAcentral describes it as "partial 16S ribosomal RNA". It matches the Rfam family "Bacterial small subunit ribosomal RNA", at positions 30 to 523 of the family's 1533-position model. The record is from RNAcentral.
AUUGAACGCUGGCGGCAGGCUUAGCACAUGCAAGUCGAGCGGGGUGAUGGUGCUUGCACUAUCACUUAGCGGCGGACGGGUGAGUAAUGCUUAGGAAUCUGCCUAUUAGUGGGGGACAACAUCUCGGAAGGGAUGCUAAUACCGCAUACGUCCUACGGGAGAAAGCAGGGGAUCACUUGUGACCUUGUGCUAAUAGAUGAGCCUAAGUCGGAUUAGCUAGUUGGUGGGGUAAAGGCCUACCAAGGCGACGAUCUGUAGCGGGUCUGAGAGGAUGAUCCGCCACACUGGGACUGAGACACGGCCCAGACUCCUACGGGAGGCAGCAGUGGGGAAUAUUGGACAAUGGGGGGAACCCUGAUCCAGCCAUGCCGCGUGUGUGAAGAAGGCCUUAUGGUUGUAAAGCACUUUAAGCGAGGAGGAGGCUUACCUAGUUAAUACCUGGGAUAAGUGGACGUUACUCGCAGAAUAAGCACCGGCUAACUCUGUGCCAGCAGCCGCCGCAG